This is a long non-coding RNA of Bos taurus (domestic cattle), 1238 nucleotides long. The record is from Ensembl. Lineage: Eukaryota; Metazoa; Chordata; Mammalia; Artiodactyla; Bovidae.
UGUCAGGCCAGGCAGCUCCCCAGUGACUCCGGAGGGCUUCCGGGAAAAGGAAACAGUAACUUCUGCCAAAAGCAGACAGAAGGCUCCUGUACAAACAGACCUACAGGUCAGCUGACACUUAAUCACUGAAUGGCCGCACCUCCUCAUCUCCAAGCUCUUAGUGGAAAGAAGGAGCAGAAUAAGAACACAUUAAACCUUAAACUGAGAGAUAUCACUGAGAGAGAACAAGAGAAGAGGAACCACUUCAGAAUGAGAUGUUUUGCACCUCUGGCAGUUUUCAGUCAAAACUACUUAGAUCGUGUAAGAAAACAUUCAAAAGAAGAUAGCGUGCUCUCCAUAUAUUCUUGAGUCAGUCCUGGAAGACAUUUUGCAGAUAAAAGGGGCCAUUGCAAGUUUUUGAGGAGAGAAAAAUGAUCCAUACUGUAUAUAGAAGAUAAGGCCAGCAUAAUGAAGAAUUGUUAGAGAAAUACAGUCAUUUGGAGAACAAGAGAGUGAGUCCAAUCACACAAGCAACUUUCAAGUCUUGGGUAAGUCAGGUCCAUGAUAUUCCAUUGUCCAAAGCAAGUCAUAUGGCCAAGCCCAAGGUCAAGAUGUGCUCAUGAUGCAGGUGAGUAAAGAAAUGAAUAUUUCUGAACAACAGUGUUAUCUAACACACCAUCCUUUGGGAAUGAGUGAUUAAAAGGCUUAUGUAUGGCUUCUUCUUAGUGAAAAUUAAGUCAAUAAUGAAGGCAUUCAGAAAUCUUAGGGAUUAGGGUGCAAAGUUGCUACUUCUCCAGUGAGACAGAACUAAAUCCACUUGUAGAGAGAGGAGCUGCUGGUUUGAGACAGGCUCUCUGAACUUAAAAUUUUUAAGGUGCAGGUGAAAGUGUCACUUUAGUCAAAUGAGGGAGGUCAAGAUCAUAACACUGCCUGAACAGCGUCUAGAGUCCUUCUGUUUUGCAGAAAAAUUCCUCUAAAUCACAGAAUGAGUAUCCCUCCAUGAAUAAGCAACUGUUCACUCUAUUCAAGUUGGAGAUGAAUUUACAAAUGUUGACCAGAACUUAUUUAUAAUAAAACCAGAAGAGAAUAUUUCAAAGAGAUGGCUAAGACAAAAGCAGCAUAAGACACUUGUUAUAUGAUAGACUGAAAAUUACAUGACUUAUUGUACUGUACAAUUGUCUAUCCCUUUACCAAAAUGAUCUAAACAUCCUCCAACUCUGCCAAUUUUUACCCCAAUACUUCUACUACUUGUAUUCAUG